GGGCCAUUAGCUCAGGUGGUUAGAGCGCACCCCUGAUAACGGUGAGGUCCCUGGUUCAAGUCCAGGAUGGCCCA
This 74-nucleotide transfer RNA is filed under the name uncultured Synechococcus sp. RNAcentral describes it as "tRNA-Ile". It matches the Rfam family "tRNA". From Rfam's summary of the family: Transfer RNA (tRNA) molecules are approximately 80 nucleotides in length. Their secondary structure includes four short double-helical elements and three loops (D, anti-codon, and T loops). The record is from RNAcentral. Lineage: Bacteria; Bacillati; Cyanobacteriota; Cyanophyceae; Synechococcales; Synechococcaceae.